This 232-nucleotide ribosomal RNA is filed under the name uncultured bacterium. RNAcentral's name for it is "partial 16S ribosomal RNA". It matches the Rfam family "Bacterial small subunit ribosomal RNA", at positions 335 to 559 of the family's 1533-position model. The record is from RNAcentral.
GUCGCUACGGGGGGCAGCAGUAGGGAAUCUUCCACAAUGGACGAAAGUCUGAUGGAGCAACGCCGCGUGAGUGAAGAAGGGUUUCGGCUCGUAAAGAUCUGUUGGUAGUGAAGAAAGAUAGAGGUAGGAACUUGCCUUUAUUUGACGGGAAUUACUUAGAAAGGCACGGCUAACUACGUGCCAGCAGCCGCGGUAAUACGUAGGGGGCAAGCGUUGUCCGGAUUUAUUGGGC